AACUUCUCGUCUUGAUUAAUUUAGUUACUUCUUUUUAAAAGAGAGAGAGAAAAACUCAAACUUCUCGUCUUGAUUAAUUUAGUUACUUCUUUUUAAGAGAGAGAGACGAGAAGUUUGAGUUUCUCAUAACAUACUCCAUCUUACUCAAAGCUAGUAGUUAUAUUUUUGUCCUGUUUUUUUUUUAUCUUCAAAUUAAAUCUGUCCGAAUUCACGAAUUUCAUUUACUUCUUUGGAUAUUACGAUUACGAACGCCAUCUUUCAAGUUUUAUUUUUUACGUUCAAAUUAAAUCUGUCUGGAUUGACUUGUAGUUGAGUUAGUUUUUGCAUCUUAAGAAAAAAUAGUAAACUAUUUAGAUUCAAAAGUAGGUCGGUCGAUCUUUAGUCCUAUGAUGUGUGUUAAGUGUUGAUGGAUUGGAAGAAAUGAAGCUUUUAUUAAAUAUACGUUACGCAGCAGUAAAUUGUGUACUUUUGUGAAUAAAAUCCCGGUGGGUUUACUUAAAUCAGA
Limulus polyphemus (Atlantic horseshoe crab) is the source of this 505-nucleotide long non-coding RNA. RefSeq lists it as uncharacterized. NCBI's taxonomy places the organism in Eukaryota, Metazoa, Arthropoda, Merostomata, Xiphosura, Limulidae. The transcript is spliced from 2 exons. The record is from RefSeq and is a predicted model, not a curated record.